UUCUGGAGGAAUCGCCCAAGAAUCUCUGUCCCUCCAGAACAGCUAGCUCUGCGAUGAGUAAACAGCUCUCCCUUCUACAGACCUCAGCCCGGUUUUCAAACUGCUGUUUUCAUGAUGUAUCUCCUUGGGCUGUUUGUUGUGCUGGCUCUUUAAGGGCAAGAACUCAUUUCCCCUCCCUGUUCUCCAGAGCUGAACCAGCUGAUUUUUAAAAUUCAAGGUUUUAAGUCCCACUGACUGUAAGAACUCCUGAUAUUCAGCCCCUCUGGUUGUCAAAGCCAAAUGUUGCAGGGAUCUGCCUUCCCGGCCUAGGGGUCUGUUUCUCUCCCCUCUUAGCACCUGCAGGUCCCUCCCUCCCACAGAGAGCCCCGCAGGUGCGUCGGCUCCCCACUGAGUCCCUUCCUUGCAGCCUCUUGUCUACAUUUAGCUGCGCAGUUUGUUUUGCCGUCUUCAGUUUGUUUUCUGGCUUAUUUAUGCAGCUGUGAGUCUUACCUGGUUGUUUCCCGGGGAGGAGGCGAGCAUGGGGUCCUCCUCAUCUGCCAUUUCCCCAGAGAUCUGGCUUUGAGGUAGAUUUUAAAGACGGUGCCUUACGUCUCACAAAAGCUCUUCACCCUUUCCCCAGAAAUAAUGUUCACCUAUUUAUACAGACAGAGUUUUGCAUAAGAUAUCUGGGUUUCUUGAAGCCGUGGGCUCAGGUUCGGAAAUCAGUUUGCAAGAUUUAAGUAUGAAAAUUAUCCAAGACCACAUUCUCCAAGGAGCUCUCUCAUGCCUACUCGGAUCAUACCAUUUCAUGAUUCCAAACACUAGCUUUAAUUCUGAUAAGUAGUUGUGAGACUGUUAGGAGCUUUUCUAUUAUUUGAUGUUAAGAAAUGUGUAUGACUGCAUCCAAAAUUCUCACUUUUCGAGAGAAGAGUUGGGAUAUUUUAUAUUCAUAAUUAGUUCCUACAGGUUCUCUUGUAAUCCUCAGUACAGUGAACGCUUACCUCUCAUAAUCAGUAACUCACAUUUCUUCUCCAUAACUAAAUGCUAGUAACUCUGGUUAUGGAAGUUUGGGGAAUGACACUUUGAGUUUGAAGUUCCCUGAUCCGUUACAUAAAUUCAGUUGUUCUAACCUAAUGUAUUUAUACUAUGGAAGACUAACUUGAGAACCUAGACUGACCAAUCCAUAGGUCUGAUCUAUUUUUCCACUUAAGAUCUUAGAAUAUACCAUGAUUAAGUACCUUUGAUUUUGACUGUUGGGACUCUAAACUAGGAACAUCCCACAAUGGGAAUUGCGACCUAGAUUUUAUUUAUUUAUUUAUUUAUUUAUUUAUUUAUUUAUUUAUUUAUCUAUCUAUCUAUCUAUCUAUCAGAAAGAGAGAGCAAGAGCAGGGGGAGAAAUAGACUCCCCACGGAGCAGGAAGCCCAACUCAGGGCUGGAUCCCAGGAUCCUGGGAUCAUGACUUGAGCUGAAGAUAGACACCCAACCAACUGAGCCAACCAGGCACCCUGCAACCCAGAUAGUUUUUAAUCUUUCUUUCAUUUGGAAUGGAACAUACCAAUGAAUUCUUAGCAGCAUUUACUGGGGAAAAUAAUGGAAUUUUGAGGUCACUUAAAUCAAUAGCUGUCCAGGGCACCUGGGUGGCUCAGUGAUUGAGUGUCUACCUUCAGCACAGGUCAUGAUCCCAGGGACCUGGCAUCAAGUCCUGCAUCUGGCUCUCUGCAGCAAGCCUUCUUUUCCCUCUGCUUAUGUCCCUGUCUUUCUCUCUGUGUUUCUUCUGAAUAAAUAAAUAAAAUCUUUUUUAAAAAUCAAUCAAUCAGGGACGCCUGGGUGGCUCAGCGGUUUAGCGCCUGCCUUCAGCCCAGGAUUUGAUCCUGGAGUCCCGGGAUCGAGUCCCACAUCGGGCUCCCUGCAUGGAGUCUGCUUCUCCCUUUGCCUGUGUCUCUGCCUCUCUUUUGAUGUCUCUCAUGAAUAAAUAAAUAAAAUCUUUAGAAAAAAAUCAAUCAAUAGCUGUCCUUCCACCUCACCAUUAAAACAUAGGAAUUUUAACUCACACUGUCUACGUCAUUCCCUCCAAGUACUCAAUUUUGGGCAGCUGAGAUAUGGCACAGAGAUUUCUAACUGCAUUAUGUUCCAAGAAAAUGUCUAACACAAAAAUGCUUACCAAGAUGUCAGAGGAAGAUGACUGAUUUAAGUGAUGUUUUCUGGGGUGCUGGGUGGCUCAGUUGGUUGAGCAUCCAAUGUUUGGCCUUGAGUCAUAAUCUCAGGGUCGUGGAAUCAAGCCCCACAUCGGACUCCACACUCAGCUCUAAAAUAAAUAAACAAAUCUUUGAAAAAAAUUUAAAAAUAAAUGAUGUUUUCUGGAUUAGAGUCUUCAGUCACAUCAGAGGUGGUCAGUCAUACUGUGCAUGCAUGCGUGUGUGUGUUGAGGGGGUGUGGUGAUUUCAAUUAAAUGAAUAACAUCAAAUUAAUUUUCAAUGCACAGCCUAUUAGAGCCAUCAUAUUUCGUUGAUUCUUCAUUAAGAUAGCUCAGAACAGAGAUGAUACUACUACAAAAUACCAAAUGAAUUUUCUUGUAAGUAGAUUUUUCCUAAGCAAAGUUGCAUUGUGCUAAAAUACAUUUAUACAUAAGGAGAGCAUUUAGAAGUCAAAGCUAUUUUUAAAAAUGUGCAUUCUCAGUUUGAGCUGAACUGUUUAAAAAAAAAAAAA
Molecule: long non-coding RNA, 2686 nt
Filed under: Canis lupus familiaris (dog)
Lineage: Eukaryota; Metazoa; Chordata; Mammalia; Carnivora; Canidae
Description: lncRNA (ENSCAFG00845019153.1)
Source: RNAcentral